Molecule: long non-coding RNA, 424 nt
Filed under: Phoenix dactylifera (date palm)
Lineage: Eukaryota; Viridiplantae; Streptophyta; Magnoliopsida; Arecales; Arecaceae
Description: long non-coding RNA (PDAC_LNC019209)
Source: RNAcentral
UUUUAAAUUUGGUCCGGCAUGACCAGUAUCCAGAACAGAAAUCCAUAGAAACAUCUCACAUCUGUAUACUAAACGGCACCUUGCGGGGUUUUACUUUGCCCGGCGGCAAGCCAUAUAUAAGUCGCAGGACCGGCCGAUCCUACGCCUAGGGCCAUGUCCCCCCUAAGAAGGGACUGGGCUCCGCCCACCCAGAAGGCUACUAUGUGCACACAGACCGAUGUCUAACCCCAUCGACUAUAGGUGUCCUAUAGAUACUGCCAAACCAUGCAUAAUGCCAUAAUGUACCCUCCCAAUACUCUACUAAAAAGGAGCAUAAUCAAGACUACCACUCACUCGACCACGACCCAAUCAUAACUAACAUCAGGGUUGGGAGUGAGGAAUCAUGGGAGUGCAAUGCAACUCAAUAUACCACUGAAAAGGGCUC